RNAcentral lists this ribosomal RNA (409 nucleotides) under uncultured bacterium. RNAcentral's name for it is "bacterial SSU rRNA". It matches the Rfam family "Bacterial small subunit ribosomal RNA", at positions 612 to 1018 of the family's 1533-position model. The record is from RNAcentral.
ACCUGGGAAUUGCGCUUGGGACUGAGAGGCUUGAGUACGGGAGAGGAGAGUGGAAUUCCCAGUGUAGAGGUGAAAUGCGUAGAUAUCGGGAGGAACACCUGUGGCGUAGGCGAGUCUCUAGGCCACUCCUGACGCUGAGGCGCGAAAGCGUGGGGAGCGAACGGAAUUAGAUACUCCGGUAGUCCACGCCCUAAACGAUGGACACUAGGUGUGGUGGGUAUCGACCCCUGCCGUGCCGUAGUCAACACAAUAAGUGUCCCGCCUGGGGACUACGAGCGCAAGCUUAAAACUCAAAGGAAUUGACGGGGGCCCGCACAAGCAGCGGAGCGUGUGGUUCAAUUCGACGCAACACGAAGAACCUUACCGGGGUUUGACAUGUACAUGUAAUCCCGUGAAAACGGGACCCCUC